Molecule: long non-coding RNA, 107 nt
Organism: Gordionus sp. m RMFG-2023
Lineage: Eukaryota; Metazoa; Nematomorpha; Gordioida; Chordodea; Parachordodidae
Exons: 7
Source: RefSeq, a predicted model, not a curated record
AGGUGUUGAAGAAACUGUCGAUACUGUAGCAAGUGAGGAAGUAGCUGUCGAUAGUGUAGCAGUUGAAGGUGUAGCAGUCGAAAGUGCAGCAGUUGAAAGUGCAGCAA